AUCUAUGGCCAUGCCACCCUGAACAAGCCCGAUCCCAUCUGAUCUUGGAAGCUAAGCAAGGUCAGACCUGAUUAGUAUUUGGAUGGGAGACUGCCUAGGAAGACCAGGUGCUGUAGGCG
Molecule: ribosomal RNA, 119 nt
Filed under: Pteropus alecto (black flying fox)
Lineage: Eukaryota; Metazoa; Chordata; Mammalia; Chiroptera; Pteropodidae
Source: RNAcentral